GAUCGGGAGUCAAAGCAAACACUGAAAUCGCAGUUCGGUAAAUAAAUCCUUCUCAUUCCCGAGGGUGUCUCACUUCCCAUACACGUUAAACGCCAUAUAAAUGCUCCCGAGGCUGAUAAAGCUCCUCAUUCAGUCGACUUUUACCUUCUAAAUGUGUUUCAGAUGGCUGAAGAGGCUUUACCAGUGUCUCCGGCGGAGAUGGUCCCGACAGAACCGAGGCUACAGCCGGGAGAUCUCCAUGAGCCACCACGGAUUCUGCUCCGGAGCCUUCGCCAACCGCCACGGCCACACCUCCUUCUCCUGCAGUGGGGAAAGCUCCGUCUCCUACAGCCGCAGACCCUUGUCCUGCCCGCCCCUGCCAGCACCAGCCCCCUACAGCAUCUCAGGGGGGUACUCGUGUGACACCGGUGGGGAUUGUGGGGUCACGUCUGGCUGGGACCCCAUGGUGGGGACGGUCCCAGUCUACGGCUCCGGAGUGGGAAUGGGGUACAGCGGCGAGGACGUGGGCCCGGUCAUCAGCAGCGCAGGGAGAGGUGGAGAAUCCAUCUACCACGGAGGGAAUUCGGGAAUGGCCGAGGGAGCAGGGGCUGGGUAUGGAUACUCUGCACCCCUGAGUGACACCCUAAGCACGGGGAGGGUCUCUGAGGGCUCAGGGUACUACGGGGGAGGGUAUGGCUAUGGGACACAGGGAACUGGGACAUUCCUCGGCCCAGAGCUCAGCCCUGCGGGCGGGGAAUGCGCCCAGGUGGUGCAGCAGAAAUGCCCCGUGGUCGUCCCCCCCGUCAAGACCCAGCAGUGCAAACAGAGCACCCACUGGCCCCCCAUCCAGAAGAAGUGACUGGCCCAGCAGCCUCUGCCACAUCCCCAAAGUGCUCCUGGAUGUGCUGCAGUGGAAUUUUCCCCCAUGGUGUCAUGACAUCACAGAGCUGUGCGUUCCUCGCGUGAGGCUGUGCUGACAACAGUUGCCCAGGAGCUGCUGGAAAAAAAGGGUUUGUGCUGUGGUGAUGGGCAAAGAUAUUUUUCUCCAUCUCCUCUGGAUCAUGGGUUGGAAAAUAAAACCUCACAGUCUGUGGGUAGUUUCA
RNAcentral lists this long non-coding RNA (1082 nucleotides) under Chloebia gouldiae (Gouldian finch). RNAcentral describes it as "Erythrura gouldiae (Gouldian finch) lncRNA (ENSEGOG00005013587.1)". The record is from RNAcentral. Lineage: Eukaryota; Metazoa; Chordata; Aves; Passeriformes; Passeridae.